CAGUCGCCGCGGUAAUACGUAGGUGGCGAGCGUUGUCCGGAAUUAUUGGGCGUAAAGGGAGCGCAGGCGGACAUAUAAGUCCAUCUUAAAAGUGCGGGGCUCAACCCCGUGAGGGGAUGGAAACUGUAUGCCUUGAGUGCAGGAGAGGAAAGCGGAAUUCCCAGUGUAGCGGUGAAAUGCGUAGAUAUUGGGAGGAACACCAGUGGCGAAGGCGGCUUUCUGGACUGCAACUGACGCUGAGGCUCGAAAGCCAGGGGAGCGAACGGGAUUAGAGACCCGCGUAGUCCCUGUCUCUUAUACA
This 301-nucleotide ribosomal RNA is filed under the name uncultured bacterium. RNAcentral's name for it is "partial 16S ribosomal RNA". It matches the Rfam family "Bacterial small subunit ribosomal RNA", at positions 509 to 809 of the family's 1533-position model. The record is from RNAcentral.